Amblyraja radiata (thorny skate) is the source of this 79-nucleotide long non-coding RNA. RefSeq lists it as uncharacterized. Lineage: Eukaryota; Metazoa; Chordata; Chondrichthyes; Rajiformes; Rajidae. The record is from RefSeq and is a predicted model, not a curated record. The transcript has 3 exons.
UGCUGCUGUUGGAGUCGAGGGUUAAGAGAGUGGGGCGAUUGUAAUGGGUGAUUGCAGGUCCACUUCUGUGCCUGUGUUG